GAGGCCUGGCCCAGUAGCAAAGUCAGGACUCUAGAGCCCGAUGUGGCGGACUGUUUGGGUUGCUUCAUCUCCCUUGGAGGGGCAGGAGGGAGUGGGCCUGUGGAAGAGCCCCAGGGCCCACUCUGCUUUCUUGGCCUGCCCAACGCAGAUGUCCCCCAAGUGGCUGUCUUUCCCAGUCCCACCGUUUGCUGAAGGGAGGUGUGGCCAUCUUUGGCUCCUCUGUGGGCAGCUGUGGCAAUGCACAGAGCAAGCCGCUUUGGGGGCAUGUUAGUGGCAGCCCAUUGUGGAAGGCUGAAAAUGGGCAAGCCAUGUGUGCCGGACUGAGGCCAAGUGUGCCGGGCUGAGGCCGUGUGUGCCGCACCGAGGCCGUGUGUGCCAGAAUUCUGCCGGCCUUCGCACACACUCAGCAGUCUCCCGAUAGGUGAGGGGAGAGUUUGUGAGGCCCACUCAGGAAGGAUGCAUGGAUGGAGGACGAGUUUACUGGUUUUACUGGUUUUGCUGCACAUUUUCCACCUGUGGCUCUCUUUUGCGCUCCUUCCUCCUGCUCUUUCCUUCCUCAUCCACCUCUUUUCCUCUCCUGGCUCUGUUGUUGCUUUUCCUCCACCCUCUUUCAACAUCCUUCUGCCUUGGCUGAUUCCAGGUAGCAAAAUAAAAAAUACAGUGAUACGUC
This is a long non-coding RNA of Varanus komodoensis (Komodo dragon), 670 nucleotides long. RefSeq lists it as uncharacterized. NCBI's taxonomy places the organism in Eukaryota, Metazoa, Chordata, Lepidosauria, Squamata, Varanidae. The record is from RefSeq and is a predicted model, not a curated record. The transcript is spliced from 2 exons.